GCACCAAAGAGAACAAAAAUUUAUGAAUCAGCAAGCUAAUUUAUUUAAACACCAAAACGGUGAGUUUUAUCUAGUUGCUUCUCUCCUUCUCCAUCGGUUCUCUGUCCUCUAUCCUUUUGCCAUCUUCUUCUCUCCUUCAACAGUCAUUCCUUUCAUGUAUACACAAUCGAAACAAAUAUUCCCUAUUGAUUCGAUGGAUCCAUGAAGACGGUACCGAGCCUUCGAAUCGUCUUCCUUAGUAGUGGGAGAAGAAAUCAAAUUAUAGGAAUCAAAUCUAUCGAGAGAGUGUAAUAUUACUAUUUGAAUCUGGAAAACUAUAUUUGAUAAUCUCUUGAACCUUUUCUUUUUUCUUUUUUUUUUCCAGGAGAGUGUUUUUCCGAUUUUCGGGACCUAAAAUUGAAAAAUCACAACAAAGUGUUUGAACGUUAAAAAAUUGAAAGCAGUUUUUGUUUAUGAAUUUUAGGGUUUCAAUCGGGAGAGUUAGAAUUCCAAUUAGGAUCGUUGGAUUCAUGGUGGUAUUGGCAAUAGUAGUUCUGAUUUUGACGGAAAAAAAGUGAUGGAAAGGCUAGGCGAGAAGUUGAGAAUAGAAGUGACGAUGAAGGAGUGGCCAUAGUGUCAGGGUAUUCCAUCGGGU
This 634-nucleotide long non-coding RNA is filed under the name Ricinus communis (castor bean). RNAcentral describes it as "long non-coding RNA (RCOM_LNC000494)". The record is from RNAcentral. Lineage: Eukaryota; Viridiplantae; Streptophyta; Magnoliopsida; Malpighiales; Euphorbiaceae.